CGACGCCGCGUGCGGGAUGACGGCAUUCGUGUUGUAAACCGCUUUUAUCGGGGAAGAAGAAUGUGACGGUACCCGGUGAAUAAGCCCCGGCUAACUACGUGC
This 102-nucleotide ribosomal RNA is filed under the name uncultured bacterium. RNAcentral's name for it is "partial 16S ribosomal RNA". It matches the Rfam family "Bacterial small subunit ribosomal RNA", at positions 392 to 508 of the family's 1533-position model. The record is from RNAcentral.